AACGAACGCUGGCGGCAGGCUUAACACAUGCAAGUCGAGCGAGACCUUCGGGUCUAGCGGCGGACGGGUGAGUAACGCGUGGGAACGUGCCCUUCUCUACGGAAUAGCCCCGGGAAACUGGGAGUAAUACCGUAUACGCCCUUUGGGGGAAAGAUUUAUCGGAGAAGGAUCGGCCCGCGUUGGAUUAGGUAGUUGGUGGGGUAAUGGCCCACCAAGCCGACGAUCCAUAGCUGGUUUGAGAGGAUGAUCAGCCACACUGGGACUGAGACACGGCCCAGACUCCUACGGGAGGCAGCAGUGGGGAAUCUUAGACAAUGGGGGCAACCCUGAUCUAGCCAUGCCGCGUGAGUGAUGAAGGCCUUAGGGUUGUAAAGCUCUUUCAGCUGGGAAGAUAAUGACGGUACCAGCAGAAGAAGCCCCGGCUAACUCCAUG
RNAcentral lists this ribosomal RNA (433 nucleotides) under uncultured bacterium. RNAcentral's name for it is "partial 16S ribosomal RNA". It matches the Rfam family "Bacterial small subunit ribosomal RNA", at positions 29 to 507 of the family's 1533-position model. The record is from RNAcentral.